Molecule: ribosomal RNA, 2921 nt
Filed under: Staphylococcus aureus
Lineage: Bacteria; Bacillati; Bacillota; Bacilli; Caryophanales; Staphylococcaceae
Description: bacterial LSU rRNA
Rfam family: Bacterial large subunit ribosomal RNA
Source: RNAcentral
UUAAGUUAUUAAGGGCGCACGGUGGAUGCCUUGGCACUAGAAGCCGAUGAAGGACGUUACUAACGACGAUAUGCUUUGGGGAGCUGUAAGUAAGCUUUGAUCCAGAGAUUUCCGAAUGGGGAAACCCAGCAUGAGUUAUGUCAUGUUAUCGAUAUGUGAAUACAUAGCAUAUCAGAAGGCACACCCGGAGAACUGAAACAUCUUAGUACCCGGAGGAAGAGAAAGAAAAUUCGAUUCCCUUAGUAGCGGCGAGCGAAACGGGAAGAGCCCAAACCAACAAGCUUGCUUGUUGGGGUUGUAGGACACUCUAUACGGAGUUACAAAGGACGACAUUAGACGAAUCAUCUGGAAAGAUGAAUCAAAGAAGGUAAUAAUCCUGUAGUCGAAAAUGUUGUCUCUCUUGAGUGGAUCCUGAGUACGACGGAGCACGUGAAAUUCCGUCGGAAUCUGGGAGGACCAUCUCCUAAGGCUAAAUACUCUCUAGUGACCGAUAGUGAACCAGUACCGUGAGGGAAAGGUGAAAAGCACCCCGGAAGGGGAGUGAAAUAGAACCUGAAACCGUGUGCUUACAAGUAGUCAGAGCCCGUUAAUGGGUGAUGGCGUGCCUUUUGUAGAAUGAACCGGCGAGUUACGAUUUGAUGCAAGGUUAAGCAGUAAAUGUGGAGCCGUAGCGAAAGCGAGUCUGAAUAGGGCGUUUAGUAUUUGGUCGUAGACCCGAAACCAGGUGAUCUACCCUUGGUCAGGUUGAAGUUCAGGUAACACUGAAUGGAGGACCGAACCGACUUACGUUGAAAAGUGAGCGGAUGAACUGAGGGUAGCGGAGAAAUUCCAAUCGAACCUGGAGAUAGCUGGUUCUCUCCGAAAUAGCUUUAGGGCUAGCCUCAAGUGAUGAUUAUUGGAGGUAGAGCACUGUUUGGACGAGGGGCCCCUCUCGGGUUACCGAAUUCAGACAAACUCCGAAUGCCAAUUAAUUUAACUUGGGAGUCAGAACAUGGGUGAUAAGGUCCGUGUUCGAAAGGGAAACAGCCCAGACCACCAGCUAAGGUCCCAAAAUAUAUGUUAAGUGGAAAAGGAUGUGGCGUUGCCCAGACAACUAGGAUGUUGGCUUAGAAGCAGCCAUCAUUUAAAGAGUGCGUAAUAGCUCACUAGUCGAGUGACACUGCGCCGAAAAUGUACCGGGGCUAAACAUAUUACCGAAGCUGUGGAUUGUCCUUUGGACAAUGGUAGGAGAGCGUUCUAAGGGCGUUGAAGCAUGAUCGUAAGGACAUGUGGAGCGCUUAGAAGUGAGAAUGCCGGUGUGAGUAGCGAAAGACGGGUGAGAAUCCCGUCCACCGAUUGACUAAGGUUUCCAGAGGAAGGCUCGUCCGCUCUGGGUUAGUCGGGUCCUAAGCUGAGGCCGACAGGCGUAGGCGAUGGAUAACAGGUUGAUAUUCCUGUACCACCUAUAAUCGUUUUAAUCGAUGGGGGGACGCAGUAGGAUAGGCGAAGCGUGCGAUUGGAUUGCACGUCUAAGCAGUAAGGCUGAGUAUUAGGCAAAUCCGGUACUCGUUAAGGCUGAGCUGUGAUGGGGAGAAGACAUUGAGUCUUCGAGUCGUUGAUUUCACACUGCCGAGAAAAGCCUCUAGAUAGAAAAUAGGUGCCCGUACCGCAAACCGACACAGGUAGUCAAGAUGAGAAUUCUAAGGUGAGCGAGCGAACUCUCGUUAAGGAACUCGGCAAAAUGACCCCGUAACUUCGGGAGAAGGGGUGCUCUUUAGGGUUAACGCCCAGAAGAGCCGCAGUGAAUAGGCCCAAGCGACUGUUUAUCAAAAACACAGGUCUCUGCUAAACCGUAAGGUGAUGUAUAGGGGCUGACGCCUGCCCGGUGCUGGAAGGUUAAGAGGAGUGGUUAGCUUCUGCGAAGCUACGAAUCGAAGCCCCAGUAAACGGCGGCCGUAACUAUAACGGUCCUAAGGUAGCGAAAUUCCUUGUCGGGUAAGUUCCGACCCGCACGAAAGGCGUAACGAUUUGGGCACUGUCUCAACGAGAGACUCGGUGAAAUCAUAGUACCUGUGAAGAUGCAGGUUACCCGCGACAGGACGGAAAGACCCCGUGGAGCUUUACUGUAGCCUGAUAUUGAAAUUCGGCACAGCUUGUACAGGAUAGGUAGGAGCCUUUGAAACGUGAGCGCUAGCUUACGUGGAGGCGCUGGUGGGAUACUACCCUAGCUGUGUUGGCUUUCUAACCCGCACCACUUAUCGUGGUGGGAGACAGUGUCAAGCGGGCAGUUUGACUGGGGCGGUCGCCUCCUAAAAGGUAACGGAGGCGCUCAAAGGUUCCCUCAGAAUGGUUGGAAAUCAUUCAUAGAGUGUAAAGGCAUAAGGGAGCUUGACUGCGAGACCUACAAGUCGAGCAGGGUCGAAAGACGGACUUAGUGAUCCGGUGGUUCCGCAUGGAAGGGCCAUCGCUCAACGGAUAAAAGCUACCCCGGGGAUAACAGGCUUAUCUCCCCCAAGAGUUCACAUCGACGGGGAGGUUUGGCACCUCGAUGUCGGCUCAUCGCAUCCUGGGGCUGUAGUCGGUCCCAAGGGUUGGGCUGUUCGCCCAUUAAAGCGGUACGCGAGCUGGGUUCAGAACGUCGUGAGACAGUUCGGUCCCUAUCCGUCGUGGGCGUAGGAAAUUUGAGAGGAGCUGUCCUUAGUACGAGAGGACCGGGAUGGACAUACCUCUGGUGUACCAGUUGUCGUGCCAACGGCAUAGCUGGGUAGCUAUGUGUGGACGGGAUAAGUGCUGAAAGCAUCUAAGCAUGAAGUCCCCCUCAAGAUGAGAUUUCCCAACUUCGGUUAUAAGAUCCCUCAAAGAUGAUGAGGUUAAUAGGUUCGAGGUGGAAGCAUGGUGACAUGUGGAGCUGACGAAUACUAAUCGAUCGAAGACUUAAUCAA